CAGUAGCCGCGGUAAUACGAGGGGUGCAAGCGUUAAUCGGAAUUACUGGGCGUAAAGCGUGCGUAGGCGGUGAGUUAAGUCUGCUGUGAAAUCCCCGGGCUCAACCUGGGAAUGGCAGUGGAUACUGGCUCGCUAGAGUGUGUCAGAGGAUGGUGGAAUUCCCGGUGUAGCAGUGAAAUGCGUAGAGAUCGGGAGGAACAUCAGUGGCGGAGGCGGCCAUCUGGGACAACACUGACGCUGAGGCACGAAAGCGUGGGGAGCAAACAGGAUUAGAUACCCCCGUAGUCCCUGUCUCUUAUAC
This 301-nucleotide ribosomal RNA is filed under the name uncultured bacterium. RNAcentral describes it as "partial 16S ribosomal RNA". It matches the Rfam family "Bacterial small subunit ribosomal RNA", at positions 509 to 807 of the family's 1533-position model. The record is from RNAcentral.